GCCGGGCGUGGUGGCGCGCGCCUGUAGUCCUAGCUACUCAGGAGGCUGAGGCAGGAGAAUUACUUGAACCCAGGAGGCAGAGGUUGCAGUGAGCUGAGAGAUUGUGCCACUGCACUCCAGCCUGGGCAACAGAGUGAGACCCCAUCUCAA
RNAcentral lists this small RNA (150 nucleotides) under Papio anubis (olive baboon). RNAcentral's name for it is "Metazoan signal recognition particle RNA (ENSPANG00000037166.1)". Lineage: Eukaryota; Metazoa; Chordata; Mammalia; Primates; Cercopithecidae. The record is from Rfam by way of RNAcentral.